This is a non-coding RNA of Callithrix jacchus (white-tufted-ear marmoset), 72 nucleotides long. The record is from Rfam. Lineage: Eukaryota; Metazoa; Chordata; Mammalia; Primates; Cebidae.
UGGAUCGAUGAUGAGCACUGGUGGAGUACGAGUCACUUACGAUGAAUACAUGUCUGGAACUCUGAGGUCCGU